This 254-nucleotide ribosomal RNA is filed under the name uncultured bacterium. RNAcentral's name for it is "partial 16S ribosomal RNA". It matches the Rfam family "Bacterial small subunit ribosomal RNA", at positions 524 to 776 of the family's 1533-position model. The record is from RNAcentral.
UACAGAGGGGGCAAGCGUUGUUCGGAAUUACUGGGCGUAAAGGGCGCGUAGGCGGCCUGUUAAGUCGAACGUGAAAUCCCCGGGCUCAACCCGGGAACUGCGUCCGAUACUGGCAGGCUUGAAUCCGGGAGAGGGAUGCGGAAUUCCAGGUGUAGCGGUGAAAUGCGUAGAUAUCUGGAGGAACACCGGUGGCGAAGGCGGUUCUCUGGAACGCAACUGACGGCUGAGACGCGAAAGCGUGGGGAGCAAACAGG